RNAcentral lists this ribosomal RNA (880 nucleotides) under uncultured bacterium. RNAcentral's name for it is "bacterial SSU rRNA". It matches the Rfam family "Bacterial small subunit ribosomal RNA", at positions 11 to 849 of the family's 1533-position model. The record is from RNAcentral.
GUUUGAUCAUGGCUCAGAACGAACGCUGGCGGCGUGGAUUAGGCAUGCAAGUCGAACGAGAUCCUGGGUAUCCAAGUAGCAAUAUGAGGAUGUCCUGGUGACAGUGGCGAAAGGGUGAGGAACACGCGGGUAAUCUGCCCUCAAGUUGGGGAUAGCUCUGCGAAAGCGGAAUUAAUACCGAAUGUGGUCGUCCUUCACAUGAAGGAUUAUCCAAAGCCGGGGACCGCAAGGCCUGGCGCUUGAGGAUGAGCCCACGUCCUAUCAGCUUGUUGGUGAGGUGACGGCUUACCAAGGCGAUGACGGGUAGCUGGUCUGAGAGGAUGGUCAGCCACACUGGGACUGAGACACUGCCCAGACUCCUACGGGAGGCUGCAGUCGAGGAUCAUUCGCAAUGCGCGAAAGCGUGACGGUGCGACGCCGCGUGCAGGAUGAAGGCCUUCGGGUCGUAAACUGCUGUCAUGAGGGAACAAUGUCCGGGAUGCCAACACCAUCUCGGGGUGAUAGUACCUCAAGAGGAAGCCACGGCUAACUCUGUGCCAGCAGCCGCGGUAAUACAGAGGCGGCGAGCGUUGUUCGGAUUUACUGGGCGUAAAGGGUGCGUAGGCGGUUCUGUGUGUCGGAUGUGAAAUCUCACAGCUUAACUGUGGAAUUGCAUUCGAAACUACAGGGCUGGAGUACAGGAGAGGAGAGCGGAAUUCUCGGUGUAGCGGUGAAAUGCGUAGAUAUCGAGAGGAACACCGGUGGCGAAGGCGGCUCUCUGGACUGAUACUGACGCUGAGGCACGAAAGCUGGGGGAGCAAACAGGAUUAGAUACCCUGGUAGUCCCAGCCCUAAACGGUGUGCACUUGGUGUGGGGAGGGAUUGUCCCUUCCCGCGCCGG